GACAGCAGUAGCCACGGGAAUACGAAGGGUGCAAGCGUUAAUCGGAUUUACUGGGCGUAAAGCGUGCGUAGGCGGCUUCUUAAGUCGGAUGUGAAAUCCCUGAGCUUAACUUAGGAAUUGCAUUCGAUACUGGGAAGCUAGAGUAUGGGAGAGGAUGGUAGAAUUCCAGGUGUAGCGGUGAAAUGCGUAGAGAUCUGGAGGAAUACCGAUGGCGAAGGCAGCCAUCUGGCCUAAUACUGACGCUGAGGUACGAAAGCAUGGGGAGCAAACAGGAUUAGAUACCCCGGUAGUCCCUGUCUCUUAUAC
Molecule: ribosomal RNA, 306 nt
Filed under: uncultured bacterium
Lineage: Bacteria
Description: partial 16S ribosomal RNA
Rfam family: Bacterial small subunit ribosomal RNA
Source: RNAcentral